GAGAAUGCCGGUGUGAGUAGCGAAAGACGGGUGAGAAUCCCGUCCACCGAUUGACUAAGGUUUCCAGAGGAAGGCUCGUCCGCUCUGGGUUAGUCGGGUCCUAAGCUGAGGCCGACAGGCGUAGGCGAUGGAUAACAGGUUGAUAUUCCUGUACCACCUAUAAUCGUUUUAAUCGAUGGGGGGACGCAGUAGGAUAGGCGAAGCGUGCGAUUGGAUUGCACGUCUAAGCAGUAAGGCUGAGUAUUAGGCAAAUCCGGUACUCGUUAAGGCUGAGCUGUGAUGGGGAGAAGACAUUGUGUCUUCGAGUCGUUGAUUUCACACUGCCGAGAAAAGCCUCUAGAUAGAAAAUAGGUGCCCGUACCGCAAACCGACACAGGUAGUCAAGAUGAGAAUUCUAAGGUGAGCGAGCGAACUCUCGUUAAGGAACUCGGCAAAAUGACCCCGUAACUUCGGGAGAAGGGGUGCUCUUUAGGGUUAACGCCCAGAAGAGCCGCAGUGAAUAGGCCCAAGCGACUGUUUAUCAAAAACACAGGUCUCUGCUAAACCGUAAGGUGAUGUAUAGGGGCUGACGCCUGCCCGGUGCUGGAAGGUUAAGAGGAGUGGUUAGCUU
RNAcentral lists this ribosomal RNA (610 nucleotides) under Staphylococcus aureus. RNAcentral's name for it is "partial 23S ribosomal RNA". It matches the Rfam family "Bacterial large subunit ribosomal RNA", at positions 1290 to 1896 of the family's 2925-position model. The record is from RNAcentral. Lineage: Bacteria; Bacillati; Bacillota; Bacilli; Caryophanales; Staphylococcaceae.